This 320-nucleotide ribosomal RNA is filed under the name uncultured eukaryote. RNAcentral describes it as "partial 18S ribosomal RNA". It matches the Rfam family "Eukaryotic small subunit ribosomal RNA", at positions 1470 to 1796 of the family's 1831-position model. The record is from RNAcentral.
CCCUUAGAUGUUCUGGGCCGCACGCGUGCUACACUGAUGCAUUCAACGAGUUACCUUGGCCGAGAGGCCUGGGCAAUCUUUUGAACGUGCAUCGUGAUAGGGAUAGAUUAUUGCAAUUAUUAAUCUUGAACGAGGAAUUCCUAGUAAACGCAGUUCAUCAAACUGCAUUGAUUACGUCCCUGCCCUUUGUACACACCGCCCGUCGCACCUACCGAUUGGAUGGUCCGGUGAAGCCUCGGGAUUGUGGCCAGUGCCUUUUUGGUUUUGGUUGCGAGAACUUGUCUAAACCUUAUCAUCUAGAGGAAGGUGAAGUCGUAACA